GAACGCUGGCGGCGUGCCUAACACAUGCAAGUCAACUUGACUGAAGGAGCAAUCUGACAGUAGAGUGGCGCAAGGGUGCGUAACGCGUAAGUAACUUGCCCAAGGUAAGGAAUAACGUCGAGAAAUCGGCGCUAAUACCUCAUAAUGCAGCGGAUCCGCAUGGAUAUGUUGUUAAAGGUUUACCGCCUUGGGAUAGGCUUGCGUCUGAUUAGCUAGUUGGUGUGGUAACGGCACACCAAGGCUACGAUCAGUAACUGGUCUGAGAGGAUGAUCAGUCACACUGGAACUGAGACACGGUCCAGACUCCUACGGGAGGCAGCAGUGAGGAAUAUUGGGCAAUGCUCGAAAGAGUGACCCAGCAACGCCGCGUGGAGGAUGAAGGUAUUCUAUAUCGUAAACUCCUGUGAGAGCAGACGAAAGACAGAUUAUUAAUCUGGAUGACUGUAUGCUCAGAGGAAGCCCCGGCUAACUACGUG
Molecule: ribosomal RNA, 476 nt
Filed under: uncultured bacterium
Lineage: Bacteria
Description: bacterial SSU rRNA
Rfam family: Bacterial small subunit ribosomal RNA
Source: RNAcentral